CUACGGGCGGCAGCAGUGGGGAAUAUUGGACAAUGGGGGAAACCCUGAUCCAGCAAUGCCGCGUGUGUGAAGAAGGCCUGCGGGUUGUAAAGCACUUUCGGUUGGGAGGACUGCUUCUAGCACUAAUAUUGUUGGAAGUUGACGUUACCUUCAGAAGAAGCACCGGCUAACUCCGUGCCAGCAGCCGCGGUAAUACGGAGGGGCAAGCGUUAAUCGGAAUUACUGGGCGUAAAGCGCGCGUAGGCGGCUAGAUCAGGCGGGUGUGAAAGCCCCGGGCUUAACCUGGGAACUGCAUCCGAUACUGUCUAGCUUGAGUACAGGAGAGGAGAGUGGAAUUCCACAUGUAGCGGUGAAAUGCGUAGAUAUGUGGAGGAACACCAAUGGCGAAGGCAGCUCUCUGGCCUGAUACUGACGCUGAGGUGCGAAAGCGUGGGGAGCAAACAGGAUUAGAUACCCCCGUAGUC
Molecule: ribosomal RNA, 464 nt
Filed under: uncultured bacterium
Lineage: Bacteria
Description: partial 16S ribosomal RNA
Rfam family: Bacterial small subunit ribosomal RNA
Source: RNAcentral